UUACUUAUAUUAUUACUCAGGGAAAUGCACAGUCUGAUGUACAGUGUAAUGACAGACAUCCUUUGAGUUGUCAGAAUAAAAAUACUACCUAGGUUAAAUGUGGAGAAACCGAGCUCUCAUGCAGGGAAGUUGGGAGUAUAAAUUGGUACAAAAACCUUGAAGAGCGGUUAGGCAGUGUCUGUUAAUUGUACGGGUUGGUUUGUUUGUUUGUUUAUUAAACAUCUUGUCUUUAAUAAACUGCACUUUUAUCAGUUCCUUAAGGAGACUCCUUUAUAUGUCCUUUACAUAUCUAUCUGGGAGAUGGCUAUGAGGAUGUUCACUGCACCAUUAUUUAUAAUAAUAAACUAUUGGGAACAGCGUAAAUGGCCAUUAAUGGGGAGAUGGAAAUUCUGGUCUCUUCAUAUAAUAGAGUAUUAUGUGACAAUGAAAAGGAAUACAUUUGAUCGGGUACGCUGGAUUCAACAUAUACUCAGCCGUGAAAUUGUGAUUUUCA
Molecule: long non-coding RNA, 493 nt
Organism: Leopardus geoffroyi (Geoffroy's cat)
Lineage: Eukaryota; Metazoa; Chordata; Mammalia; Carnivora; Felidae
Exons: 3
Source: RefSeq, a predicted model, not a curated record